ACCAUGAGACGAUCACCUACUCGUCUCCCACAUUUUGUCCAUUAGAUGGCCAUCAGCCUGUGCCGGCUGUUAUGCCAACUCUCCCCAACGAAGAAAAUUUAGCCGAACAUUUCUCUCAUCAGCUAUUUAGAAUCUCAUGCAAGUGGAUAUUUGAUUAGCUUCACAGGUCUCCGUCCAGAUAAUAUUCACGCACGUGAGCAUUUCUUCCCCGGGUGCAUAUUAAUGUUGCAUAUUUAUAUUUAUACUUAUGGACAUUAGGCAUUAACGGAGGCAAUUUAGAGGCAAUCGUUGCGCCAAUUUAGGAACAAUGUGCCCACACAACUACGUAAAACUGGGUAUGUCACGACAAUCAGUCGUGCAACAGGUAGGUGAUAUAAAUUGUUUUAAAUCGCUUUAAUCGCUACCUUACCCUACCUAAAGAGCGCUCUGGGGAUGGUAAGGGGCGAUAUAAAUGGGUAAUUCCAAUUAGGUGAUGGCAUGUGUUAAUUUUAAAUUUUUAUCUUUUACAGGCGCAGAUGCAGCACCUUUGGAAAUUC
This is a long non-coding RNA of Drosophila novamexicana, 536 nucleotides long. RefSeq lists it as uncharacterized. The record is from RefSeq and is a predicted model, not a curated record. NCBI's taxonomy places the organism in Eukaryota, Metazoa, Arthropoda, Insecta, Diptera, Drosophilidae. The transcript has 3 exons.